Molecule: ribosomal RNA, 497 nt
Filed under: uncultured bacterium
Lineage: Bacteria
Description: partial 16S ribosomal RNA
Rfam family: Bacterial small subunit ribosomal RNA
Source: RNAcentral
GAUGAACGCUGGCGGCGUGCCUAAUACAUGCAAGUCGAGCGAACAGACGAGGAGCUUGCUCCUCUGACGUUAGCGGCGGACGGGUGAGUAACACGUGGAUAACCUACCUAUAAGACGGGGAUAACUUCGGGAAACCGGAGCUAAUACCGGAUAAUAUAUUGAACCGCAUGGUUCAAUAGUGAAAGACGGGUUUGCUGUCACUUAUAGAUGGAUCCGCGCCGCAUUAGCUAGUUGGUAAGGUAACGGCUUACCAAGGCAACGAUGCGUAGCCGACCUGAGAGGGUGAUCGGCCACACUGGAACUGAGACACGGUCCAGACUCCUACGGGAGGCAGCAGUAGGGAAUCUUCCGCAAUGGGCGAAAGCCUGACGGAGCAACGCCGCGUGAGUGAUGAAGGUCUUCGGAUCGUAAAACUCUGUUAUUAGGGAAGAACAAAUGUGUAAGUAACUAUGCACGUCUUGACGGUACCUAAUCAGAAAGCCCCGGCUAACUACGUG